UACGUAGGUGGCAAGCGUUGUCCGGAUUUACUGGGCGUAAAGAGCGCGCAGGCGGUCGAUCAAGUCGCGUGUGAAAGCCCCCGGCUCAACUGGGGAGGGUCACGCGAUACUGAUCGACUCGAAGGCAGGAGAGGGUAGUGGAAUUCCUGGUGUAGUGGUGAAAUUCGUAGAUAUUCGGAGGAACACCAGUGGCGAAGGCGGCUCACUGGUCCAUUACUGACGCUGAGGUGCGAAAGCGUGGGGAGCAAACAGG
Molecule: ribosomal RNA, 253 nt
Filed under: uncultured bacterium
Lineage: Bacteria
Description: partial 16S ribosomal RNA
Rfam family: Bacterial small subunit ribosomal RNA
Source: RNAcentral